UUCGGGUGUGAAUUAGCGGCGAACGGGUGAGGAACACGUGAAGAAUCUGCCUUCAACUCUGGGAUAACUCCGGGAAACCGGGGCUAAUACCGGAUAUGAGCCUUGAUCGCAUGAUCGGGGCUGGAAAGUUUUUCGGUUGAAGAUGACUUCGCGGCCUAUCAGCUUGUUGGUGAGGUAAUGGCUCACCAAGGCGACGACGGGUAGCCGGCCUGAGAGGGCGACCGGCCACACUGGGACUGAGACACGGCCCAGACUCCUACGGGAGGCAGCAGUGGGGAAUAUUGGGCAAUGGAGGAAACUCUGACCCAGCGACGCCGCGUGAGGGAUGAAGGCCUUCGGGUUGUAAACCUCUUUCAGUAGGGAAGAAGCGAAAGUGACGGUACCUACAGAAGAAGCACCGGCUAACUAUGUGCCAGCAGCCGCGGUAAUACAUAGGGUGCAAGCGUUGUCCGGAAUUAUUGGGCGUAAAGAGCUCGUAGGUGGUUCGAUACGUCGGAUGUGAAAAUCAGGGGCUCAACCCCUGACCUGCAUCCGAUACGGUCGAGCUAG
RNAcentral lists this ribosomal RNA (549 nucleotides) under uncultured Actinomycetes bacterium. Its description in RNAcentral is "bacterial SSU rRNA". It matches the Rfam family "Bacterial small subunit ribosomal RNA", at positions 80 to 644 of the family's 1533-position model. The record is from RNAcentral. Lineage: Bacteria; Bacillati; Actinomycetota; Actinomycetes.